Molecule: small nuclear RNA, 108 nt
Filed under: Bison bison bison
Lineage: Eukaryota; Metazoa; Chordata; Mammalia; Artiodactyla; Bovidae
Source: RNAcentral
GUGCUAGACGCUUCAAUAGCACGUACACUAAAACCUGAAUGAUACAGAGAUUAGCAUGGCCCCUGCACAAGGAUGACACACAAAUUCAGAGAAGUGUUCCAUAUUUCU